This 231-nucleotide ribosomal RNA is filed under the name uncultured bacterium. Its description in RNAcentral is "partial 16S ribosomal RNA". It matches the Rfam family "Bacterial small subunit ribosomal RNA", at positions 99 to 334 of the family's 1533-position model. The record is from RNAcentral.
CGGACGGGUGAGUAAUGUCUGGGAAACUGCCUGAUGGAGGGGGAUAACUACUGGAAACGGUAGCUAAUACCGCAUAACGUCGCAAGACCAAAGAGGGGGACCUUCGGGCCUCUUGCCAUCGGAUGUGCCCAGAUGGGAUUAGCUAGUAGGUGGGUAAUGGCUCACCUAGGCGACGAUCCCUAGCUGGUCUGAGAGGAUGACCAGCCACACUGGAACUGAGACACGGUCCAG